Molecule: ribosomal RNA, 254 nt
Filed under: uncultured bacterium
Lineage: Bacteria
Description: partial 16S ribosomal RNA
Rfam family: Bacterial small subunit ribosomal RNA
Source: RNAcentral
UACGUAGGAGGCGAGCGUUGUCCGGAGUUACUGGGCGUAAAGCGCGCGCAGGCGGUCAGAUUAGUCUGUCGUGACAGUCGUCGGCUCAACUGACGAAGUACGAUGGAAAACUGUCUGACUUGAGGGCUUCAGAGGGACACGGAAUUCCGGGUGGAGUGGUGAAAUGCGUAGAUAUCCGGAGGAACACCAAAGGCGAAGGCAGUGUCCUGGGAAGUACCUGACGCUCAGGUGCGAAAGCUAGGGGAGCGAACAGG